AAUCUAAGUGGCUAUUUAUAUACUUGCCUCCAUGUAUAUUUAUAUGCUCAUGAAAAAUUGGAGACUUGCUUUUUGAUUUUUAUGAGUCUUUUCAACAAAGAAGUAGAGGCUUUCUUUCUCGAAAUUUAAUUUUAGAAUUUGUGAAGGUUUUGGGAAUGGCUCGGAAAAGACGAUUUUAUACAUGCAUGCAAGAGUUUGAUAUGUGUAUUGUCUCAUCAUGACUGAGUCAAAGUUUGAUUCAAAUAUUUCCAUGGUGUGGUAGAAAUUAAACAAAUCUUUCAUAUGUGUUCAUUGAAUAUUCCCGUGCAUGCACGAUGAAUGUUUUUGAGUAUCAAUUUUUUUGUUUUAUUUUUUUUUGUUUUUCGAUUCUAAAAACGUAGGGGAGGGGAUUUUAUUGGUUUUCUCUAUGAGUUUUCUCGUUGUAACGGUUGAGUUUUUUUUUUUUCCGUUUCAAAAUGAGAUUCUCGUUUCUCUGCCUUUAUCUAAAAGCAUCUACAGUAAAUUAAAAGACACUAAAAAACAAAAAAUUAAAAGACACUGAAAUUUUUUUUAUACUUAAUAAACAUUUAAGUAUAUAUAAACAGUCUUACUAGUCCCAAGUUUUACAAUUCAAAAUUUAUUAGUAAUUGUUUUUUGGAAAAAAUCUAAGUGAAUUUUUGUCCAAAAUUUUCCUUUUACUGUGUUUAUUCUAGUGGGUGUCAUUAACUUUAAUCUUGUGAUUCUUUUAACGUUUACCAUUGGGAACCUUCACAUGAAAUAAAUGUCUACUUUAUCGAGUCAUACCUUCUUCUCCGUAAAUUAAUUGAUGUUCUUCUUCAAAAUUUGAGUUUCUGUUUUUUGUAAUAAACUAAACGAAAGAAUUUGGGAAUACGUGUUUAUACAAUUAUACUUUUAAAGUUAUAUUUAUGUCAAAAUUUAAGUAUUUCGAGAAGAGGAAAGAUCCUUUUGACAUUUUUGUUCUAUAGUUAUUAUUUAUUAGAAACGUAACGGCAAGAAUCUGAACAGUACCUACUCAACGGGGUCCAUAAGUCUAGUCAACAAAUGUAGUUGACUAUGUCCAGGCCAAAAACGUACGGUUAUUAUUAACCAUAGUUAAUAGUUAAAAGUUAACCAUGGUUCGGUUAACAUUAAACCCUUUUUCCUCUUUUAACAAACCCCAAAACCUUUCUUCAGAUUUUCUCUCUGCUUUUCACAAUCGUCGUCUCAAUUUUUUCCUGCAAAAUUCCGAUCGCCAUGGAUGAUGGAGCUGUUGAGAUACGUGAAGAGCAACGUCGAUUGAUCGUGGCCCAGCAGCAACCACCAUGUAUGGCUCGUGAACAAGACCAGUACAUGCCAAUCGCAAACGUCAUAAGAAUCAUGCGUAAAAUCUUACCGUCGCACGCUAAAAUCUCUGACGACGCCAAAGAAACGAUUCAAGAAUGUGUCUCCGAGUACAUAAGCUUCGUGACCGGUGAAGCCAACGAGCGUUGCCAACGUGAGCAACGUAAGACCAUAACUGCUGAAGAUAUCCUUUGGGCUAUGAGCAAGCUUGGGUUCGAUAACUACGUGGAUCCCCUCACCGUGUUUAUUAACCGGUACCGUGAGAUAGAGACCGAUCGUGGGUCGGCACUUAGAGGUGAGCCACCGUCGUUGAGACAGGCCUAUGGAGGAAAUGGUAUUGGGUUUCACGGCCCACCACAUGGCCCAUCUCAUGGCCUACCUCCUCCUGGUCCUUAUGGUUAUGGUAUGUUGGACCAAUCCAUGGUUAUGGGAGAUGGUCGGUUCUACCAAAACGGGUCGUCGGGUCAGGACGAAUCAAGUGCUGGUGGUGGCUAUUCGUCUUCCAUUAACGGAAUGCCGGCGUAUGACCAAUAUGGUCAGUAUAAGUGAAGAUGGAAUUAUUCUUCAUUUUUAUGUAUAUCGAUUCAAAACAUGUGUUUGAAUAGAUAUUUUAUCUUUGUAUUAUCAAUAACAUUUCUAUAUAUAAUGUUGCUCCUUUUAAGGAAAAGUGUUGAGUUUCAAUACUUUUCGAGAACUGAUUUAUAUAUGCAAAUGAAAAAGUGUUUUUGGAUGAAACUCUAUGCAAUAUUACAUGAUCUAAAGGUUUUUGUAAUUUUAAAGCUGCUAUAGUUAGAAGAUAACUAAACAUUAUAGGAACCAAGUUUGCUUUUUUUUAUAUAGUUAGAAGAUUUAUAUAUGCAAACAAAAAGGGUUAUAAAAUCAAAAUUCAAAAUGAAGCAAGUGGUCCAAAUGCAUUGACCACAUAAACACUUUAAUAACCAAAAUAUAGGAUUUUUGUAAGACUCUCAAGUCUGACGCACAACAGUUUAUGUUAUUUAUAGAGUUGACUGUACCAUUAAAGAUUUCAAAAAAAUUAGAUCUUUAUUAGGUUCAUUUGUUGUUACACUCCUCCUUCUAUAUAAUAAUAACCUCCACUCCUCUCUAUGAGCAGCAAUGUGAAAGAUAUGGUCCAAGUGAAGUCAAACCCAACAAAUGAGCCUAGUCAACAACCACAACACAAAAAGACAAAGACCAGAAAAGUUUCACCGGCUGAGAGUAUCUCCAACAGUAAUGUCUUGAGGAAUAUCUUAAGAUUAAAAAAAUAAAAAAUAAUAAAAAAGUAGGAGAGAGUGUAGACACAGUUUCUGGUUUGAGAAACUUUGAGAAACUGUGUUUCCACUUGUCAUUUUAUUAUUGGUCAAAUUCUUUUUUUAUAAUUUAUAAUUUAAAUAAAUAAUUUAUUUAUUAUAAAUUGAUUAAAAUAAUAUUUUUGAUACACCCACACAGUGUCACAUAAACUCCCCUCUGAUCGCGGAAGCUGUGGCGGCCCUUCUCGCGUUGCAACACGCCCGAAACCUUGGUUUCACAUAGCUCUCUCUUGCUUCUGACUCGUCUCAACUCGUCAAAGCACUUCAAUCGGAGCUUCAAGUAAAGGAACUCCACGGGAUUCAAUUCGACAUCCUUGAUCUAUGUUUAAGUUUCUCUGCAAUUUCUUUUCGCUUUAUCCCACGAUCUCAAAACACUGUAGCGGAUUCGUUGGCCAAGGAGGCCUUACUCUCCUUUGUACUGGGCCUGGCCCAACUCUAGUUUUCAAUUGAAUCAUCCAUCCUUUGCACAAAAAAAAAAAUUUGUAAGCGUUAUGAUUGCAUUGGAGAGGUUUACUUGUCCGUUCAUUUUUUGAAUUCAAAUAAUGGGAGUUCAAACACUUAGAAAUAUCAGCAUUACUAUAUAUAUACUACUAGUAUUCAUUUGUUUAACAUAUAUGGAUGGUCGAUUAUUUUUUUGUUAAUCAACGCCGAAGGGUAAAGAGCUCAUGUUUUUUUCGUGAUGUAGCCUAAAGAUUAAUAUAAGUUUAUUGCAAAAAAAAAUAAUGAAAAAUCACUUCUAUUAAUUUUGUUAACAUGCAAGGUCAAAUUACUUUUCACUCUCUAUCUCAUUUCUCGUCAUGCAUAUAUGUUCGCAAGAAUCUCCAAUGUUGAUAUAUUCACCUAUCUCAACUCAUAUUUACGUAAUGUAAUUUCUUGUAAUUUGCCAGUUCAUCUCUACUCGAAAAUGCCCAAUCCUAAUAACAUAGAGGUGUGCUGAAAAAUAAUGGGAGAAUUAGCCUCAUAAUAUUUUGCGUAAGAGUAACUUGGAAGACGUACAUUGACCAAGGUAUUAUGAUUUUUGUCAGUUAAUGGCACCCCAUUGGACCAACAAAUUAAGCAAUCCCCGCAUUCCUUUAAUUUAAUCGUAACAAUAUGUAUUAAACUAAAUAUACAUGCACAACAAUUAAUUUCAAAUACAUUAAAAAAACGCACAAGUCAUAACAAUGAUUAUUCGAGUUUAUUACUCCAUAUGCGACUAUGAACAUUUUAAUAAACUUCGACAUCAAAGAAGCUGAGACAUGCAUGCCGAAACAAGCAUUCCUCUUCUGACUUCUCUCGUCCACAAUUUUUUUUUAUUUUUUGAAUACUAAGGUGUUAAAUUAUUAUAUCUAAUUAAUUAUAGCAAAUAAUUGAAGGUAUAGGUCGAGGUUUUCAUUAAAGAAACAAUAGGCUCUCUAAUUCUAUAGAUCAAUUAUUGACCACUCGAGGAUUUACAUUAUAUUUCAUGCAUGUAUAUUUGUUAGAAGUAAACUGUUUUUUCUUGUUUUCAUUUCUAGUAAGAAAUUCUUAGUCCUAGUUUUAUUUUUGUCUUAAAAGCUUACUUGAAUAGUUAAAAAGUUCAAUACUUAUCAAAAAAAUAUUUAUACUAAUAUUACACAAAAAAAAAUAUGUAAAAAUAUAUAGUUAAAAGUUCAAACUAAAAAUAGAUGCUUUGAGAUAUUUGAGUGCACAUUACUUUAAAUUUGAUGGGAAAUCUGUAAACCAGUAAUUCUCUAUCUGCAGGAUAAUUAAUUUGUGUGUGGAGUGGUUAGAUUUCGAAGUCAACAGUUUAGUCAAAGUGCUGUCAGAAAAAUUACAUGCGGGGGCUGUAAGAAAUAAUACAUUUACAUGGAUUACAAAAACAGUUUUUAAGAAGAAAAAAAAGUGGUUUACCAAAAAAAAAAAGUGACGCUUUCAAAUUAUUUAAAAUAGAAAAGUGUUUUAUGGGUUUAUACUUUAUAGAAUAUUACACACAUUAAGAUCUAAUAUUGUUGCAUCUAAUAAUAUUUAUACUUCAGAGAUUUCAAAAUGUAGUGUUAUUUAAUCAAUAUUUUAAAUAUUUCAUAAAAUCUAGUAUUGUUCAAAAGUAUAACAUUUAAUUAAUAUUUUGAUACAUAAAUCUAUCUUUACUAUACUAUAAAUCUAGUAGAUUAGUCCAACAUCCUUAUUAAACCACCUCUCAAUGAAAAAUUAAAAUAGACCAAAAAAUUACAUCAGAAAUAUUAAAUGAUGAAUAAUAUAAGCAACUUCUUAAUGAUACACAACACCAAUCCUAGUUUUUCUAAUUUUUGUAACUUUUUUUUUUAUUUGUUUCUACCAAACUUAUCCAAAUAUAAAUUGAUAGAAACUAACAGAUAACUAAACAAUGCCACAAAAAUCUUUAUCAACCAUUGGAUUACUAGGGUGUUGGAUUUAUAUAUUUAUUGGUUAUUUAUGUAUUAGAAAAUGCAAAGCAACAUUCAAUUGUAAGUUUGUAACAUGCAUCUAACACCAAUAUCUUUUACUAAACUUUUGUAAUCCCUUAAACACUUUAAAAUGCUAAUUCAAAUUAAAAAUACAUUACACGUGAUACAUAGUUUUAAAAACAGUAGACUUAUAGCUCAUUUUCGUAACGCAUAUAUAUAUUAAAAUUUACCAAAAUUUACCAUUUCGAGUAAGAGAAUCUUUUUAAAAAUAAUUUUCAAUUUCAUUAAUUAAGAAACAAUGAAUUUAAUGAAAUGUAUAUUUUAUUAAAUUCCCAUAAAGUAUAUAUAAUUAAAAUAAUGCCACGUAAAUCUUUCUCCGCCGUUCGAUAAUCAAAUACUUUCUUGAUUAAAAAUGUAUUCAGAAAAUGUUAAACCAACAUUUAUCUAUAAACAAAGAGAGCCUCAUAUGUGUAAAAAUCUUCUUCUUAUCUUUCUUUCUUUCUUAAUAGAGUCUUUAAUUUUUACUCAAUUAGCUUUGGUAAUUUGUGAAAAAAACAACCAAUGAGAGAAGAGCAGUUUGACUGGCCACAUAGCCAAUGAAAUUAGCCAAUGGGAAAGAGAUAUAGAGACCUCGUAAGAACCGCCUCCUUUGCCAUUUGUAUCAUCUCUCUAUAAAACCACUCAACCAUCAACCUUUCUUUACAUGCAACAAAUCACUCAAAUAAUUAUUUUAUAAAGAACAAAAAAAAAAAGACGGCAGGGAAACAAUGGAACGUGGAGCUUCCUUCUCUCACUAUCAGCUACCCAAAUCCAUCUCUGUUAAUCUAAGUGGCUAUUUAUAUACUUGCCUCCAUGUAUAUUUAUAUGCUCAUGAAAAAUUGGAGACUUGCUUUUUGAUUUUUAUGAGUCUUUUCAACAAAGAAGUAGAGGCUUUCUUUCUCGAAAAUUAAUUUUAGAAUUUGUGAAGGUUUUGGGAAUGGCUCUGAAAAGACGAUUUUAUACAUGCAUGCAAGAGUUUGAUAUGUGUAUUGUCUCAUCAUGACUGAGUCAAAGUUUGAUUCAAAUAUUUCCAUGGUGUGGUAGAAAUUAAACAAAUCUUUCAUAUGUGUUCAUUGAAUAUUCCCGUGCAUGCACGAGGAAUGUUUUUGAGUAUCAAUUUUUUUGUUUUAUUUUUUUUUGUUUUUCGAUUCUAAAAACGUAGGGGAGGGGAUUUUAUUGGUUUUCUCUAUGAGUUUUCUCGUUGUAACGGUUGAGUUUUUUUUUUUUCCGUUUCAAAAUGAGAUUCUCGUUUCUCUGCCUUUAUCUAAAAGCAUCUACAGUAAAUUAAAAGACACUAAAAAACAAAAAAUUAAAAGACACUGAAAUUUUUUUAUACUUAAUAAACAUUUAAGUAUAUAUAAACAGUCUUACUAGUCCCAAGUUUUACAAUUCAAAAUUUAUUAGUAAUUGUUUUUUGGAAAAAAUCUAAGUGAAUUUUUGUCCAAAAUUUUCCUUUUACUGUGUUUAUUCUAGUGGGUGUCAUUAACUUUAAUCUUGUGAUUCUUUUAACGUUUACCAUUGGGAACCUUCACAUGAAAUAAAUGUCUACUUUAUCGAGUCAUACCUUCUUCUCCGUAAAUUAAUUGAUGUUCUUCUUCAAAAUUUGAGUUUCUGUUUUUUGUAAUAAACUAAACGAAAGAAUUUGGGAAUACGUGUUUAUACAAUUAUACUUUUAAAGUUAUAUUUAUGUCAAAAUUUAAGUAUUUCGAGAAGAGGAAAGAUCCUUUUGACAUUUUUGUUCUAUAGUUAUUACUUAUUAGAAACGUAACGGCAAGAAUCUGAACAGUACCUACUCAACGGGGUCCAUAAGUCUAGUCAACAAAUGUAGUUGACUAUGUCCAGGCCAAAAACGUACGGUUAUUAUUAACCAUAGUUAAUAGUUAAAAGUUAACCAUGGUUCGGUUAACAUUAAACCCUUUUUCCUCUUUUAACAAACCCCAAAACCUUUCUUCAGAUUUUCUCUCUGCUUUUCACAAUCGUCGUCUCAAUUUUUUCCUGCAAAAUUCCGAUCGCCAUGGAUGAUGGAGCUGUUGAGAUACGUGAAGAGCAACGUCGAUUGAUCGUGGCCCAGCAGCAACCACCAUGUAUGGCUCGUGAACAAGACCAGUACAUGCCAAUCGCAAACGUCAUAAGAAUCAUGCGUAAAAUCUUACCGUCGCACGCUAAAAUCUCUGACGACGCCAAAGAAACGAUUCAAGAAUGUGUCUCCGAGUACAUAAGCUUCGUGACCGGUGAAGCCAACGAGCGUUGCCAACGUGAGCAACGUAAGACCAUAACUGCUGAAGAUAUCCUUUGGGCUAUGAGCAAGCUUGGGUUCGAUAACUACGUGGAUCCCCUCACCGUGUUUAUUAACCGGUACCGUGAGAUAGAGACCGAUCGUGGGUCGGCACUUAGAGGUGAGCCACCGUCGUUGAGACAGGCCUAUGGAGGAAAUGGUAUUGGGUUUCACGGCCCACCACAUGGCCCAUCUCAUGGCCUACCUCCUCCUGGUCCUUAUGGUUAUGGUAUGUUGGACCAAUCCAUGGUUAUGGGAGAUGGUCGGUUCUACCAAAACGGGUCGUCGGGUCAGGACGAAUCAAGUGCUGGUGGUGGCUAUUCGUCUUCCAUUAACGGAAUGCCGGCGUAUGACCAAUAUGGUCAGUAUAAGUGAAGAUGGAAUUAUUCUUCAUUUUUAUGUAUAUCGAUUCAAAACAUGUGUUUGAAUAGAUAUUUUAUCUUUGUAUUAUCAAUAACAUUUCUAUAUAUAAUGUUGCUCCUUUUAAGGAAAAGUGUUGAGUUUCAAUACUUUUCGAGAACUGAUUUAUAUAUGCAAAUGAAAAAGUGUUUUUGGAUGAAACUCUAUGCAAUAUUACAUGAUCUAAAGGUUUUUGUAAUUUUAAAGCUGCUAUAGUUAGAAGAUAACUAAACAUUAUAGGAACCAAGUUUGCUUUUUUUUAUAUAGUUAGAAGAUUUAUAUAUGCAAACAAAAAGGGUUAUAAAAUCAAAAUUCAAAAUGAAGCAAGUGGUCCAAAUGCAUUGACCACAUAAACACUUUAAUAACCAAAAUAUAGGAUUUUUGUAAGACUCUCAAGUCUGACGCACAACAGUUUAUGUUAUUUAUAGAGUUGACUGUACCAUUAAAGAUUUCAAAAAAAUUAGAUCUUUAUUAGGUUCAUUUGUUGUUACACUCCUCCUUCUAUAUAAUAAUAACCUCCACUCCUCUCUAUGAGCAGCAAUGUGAAAGAUAUGGCCCAAGUGAAGUCAAACCCAACAAAUGAGCCUAGUCAACAACCACAACACAAAAAGACAAAGACCAGAAAAGUUUCACCGGCUGAGAGUAUCUCCAACAGUAAUGUCUUGAGGAAUAUCUUAAGAUUAAAAAAAUAAAAAAUAAUAAAAAAGUAGGAGAGAGUGUAGACACAGUUUCUGGUUUGAGAAACUUUGAGAAACUGUGUCUCCACUUGUCAUUUUAUUAUUGGUCAAAUUCUUUUUUUAUAAUUUAUAAUUUAAAUAAAUAAUUUAUUUAUUAUAAAUUGAUUAAAAUAAUAUUUUUGAUACACCCACACAGUGUCACAUAAACUCCCCUCUGAUCGCGGAAGCUGUGGCGGCCCUUCUCGCGUUGCAACACGCCCGAAACCUUGGUUUCACAUAGCUCUCUCUUGCUUCUGACUCGUCUCAACUCGUCAAAGCACUUCAAUCGGAGCUUCAAGUAAAGGAACUCCACGGGAUUCAAUUCGACAUCCUUGAUCUAUGUUUAAGUUUCUCUGCAAUUUCUUUUCGCUUUAUCCCACGAUCUCAAAACACUGUAGCGGAUUCGUUGGCCAAGGAGGCCUUACUCUCCUUUGUACUGGGCCUGGCCCAACUCUAGUUUUCAAUUGAAUCAUCCAUCCUUUGCACAAAAAAAAAAAUUUGUAAGCGUUAUGAUUGCAUUGGAGAGGUUUACUUGUCCGUUCAUUUUUUGAAUUCAAAUAAUGGGAGUUCAAACACUUAGAAAUAUCAGCAUUACUAUAUAUAUACUACUAGUAUUCAUUUGUUUAACAUAUAUGGAUGGUCGAUUAUUUUUUUGUUAAUCAACGCCGAAGGGUAAAGAGCUCAUGUUUUUUUCGUGAUGUAGCCUAAAGAUUAAUAUAAGUUUAUUGCAAAAAAAAAAAAUGAAAAAUCACUUCUAUUAAUUUUGUUAACAUGCAAGGUCAAAUUACUUUUCACUCUCUAUCUCAUUUCUCGUCAUGCAUAUAUGUUCGCAAGAAUCUCCAAUGUUGAUAUAUUCACCUAUCUCAACUCAUAUUUACGUAAUGUAAUUUCUUGUAAUUUGCCAGUUCAUCUCUACUCGAAAAUGCCCAAUCCUAAUAACAUAGAGGUGUGCUGAAAAAUAAUGGGAGAAUUAGCCUCAUAAUAUUUUGCGUAAGAGUAACUUGGAAGACGUACAUUGACCAAGGUAUUAUGAUUUUUGUCAGUUAAUGGCACCCCAUUGGACCAACAAAUUAAGCAAUCCCCGCAUUCCUUUAAUUUAAUCGUAACAAUAUGUAUUAAACUAAAUAUACAUGCACAACAAUUAAUUUCAAAUACAUUAAAAAAACGCACAAGUCAUAACAAUGAUUAUUCGAGUUUAUUACUCCAUAUGCGACUAUGAACAUUUUAAUAAACUUCGACAUCAAAGAAGCUGAGACAUGCAUGCCGAAACAAGCAUUCCUCUUCUGACUUCUCUCGUCCACAAUUUUUUUUUAUUUUUUGAAUACUAAGGUGUUAAAUUAUUAUAUCUAAUUAAUUAUAGCAAAUAAUUGAAGGUAUAGGUCGAGGUUUUCAUUAAAGAAACAAUAGGCUCUCUAAUUCUAUAGAUCAAUUAUUGACCACUCGAGGAUUUACAUUAUAUUUCAUGCAUGUAUAUUUGUUAGAAGUAAACUGUUUUUUCUUGUUUUCAUUUCUAGUAAGAAAUUCUUAGUCCUAGUUUUAUUUUUGUCUUAAAAGCUUACUUGAAUAGUUAAAAAGUUCAAUACUUAUCAAAAAAAUAUUUAUACUAAUAUUUAACAAAAAAAAAUAUGUAAAAAUAUAUAGUUAAAAGUUCAAACUAAAAAUAGAUGCUUUGAAAUAUUUGAGUGCACAUUACUUUAAAUUUGAUGGGAAAUCUGUAAACCAGUAAUUCUCUAUCUGCAGGAUAAUUAAUUUGUGUGUGCAGUGGUUAGAUUUCGAAGUCAACAGUUUAGUCAAAGUGCUGUCAGAAAAAUUACAUGCGGAGGCUGUAAGAAAUAAUACAUUUACAUGGAUUACAAAAACAGUUUUUAAGAAGAAAAAAAAGUGGUUUACCAAAAAAAAAAAGUGACGCUUUCAAAUUAUUUAAAAUAGAAAAGUGUUUUAUGGGUUUAUACUUUAUAGAAUAUUACACACAUUAAGAUCUAAUAUUGUUGCAUCUAAUAAUAUUUAUACUUCAGAGAUUUCAAAAUGUAGUGUUAUUUAAUCAAUAUUUUAAAUAUUUCAUAAAAUCUAGUAUUGUUCAAAAGUAUAACAUUUAAUUAAUAUUUUGAUACAUAAAUCUAUCUUUACUAUACUAUAAAUCAAUAUUUUAAUGAAAGUUGCGGAUCUAAUCUGCCCUGUUUCAAAGUGCUGGGACAGAGAGAAAUUAAGCCUUUAUCUUCCGCAAUAUGAGAAAGAUAUCCUUCUACUCCGACCUAGUAAGCUAGGAGCAACAGAUCAUUAUGUAUGGCUUCCCACAAAGAAUGGAGACUAUAGCGCAAAAACUGGGUAUCAUGCGGCUGCUUCCUUGCCCUCCCAAGCCUCCAGCUCUCCUUCCCAACCUAUAGUCUUCAACUGGAAUAAGCACAUCUGGAAUACAUACUGCUCCCCUAAAAUCAAGUUCCUCCUUUGGAAAGCAAUGAAGAAUGCCCUCCCUGUGGGAUCAACUCUAAAGGCCAGGGGUAUUAACCCUACAACGUCUUGUCCUCAUUGUGGUGAGGAUGAAUCUUGUCUUCACUUGUUUUUCACCUGCCCUUUUGCUUCACAGAUCUGGGACCAAGCUCCUUUCAAGAACACCUUAUCGACGGCACGAUUAACCAGCCUCAAACUAGGGAUCGAAGCUGCAAAUCAUCUCACUUGUCUCCUACCAGUUGGAAUUGACAAAGGACUCCUAUUCCCUUGGAUUAUGUGGUCGAUUUGGACCUGCAGAAACAAAAAGAUCUUUGAACAGAAACAGCAAUCAAGCGAGGAUGUUAUCUCUCAAGCCAUUGUCUUGGCAAAGGAAUGGAUUGGGGCUCAGAUUCAUCCUUCUAGCCAGACCCCGAAGCCGUUCAUUUCUUCGGUACCGACGACCGGACUUGAUACGAUCAGAUGUUCUACAAAUGCGGCUUGGCGUGAAGACACCCGAGAUGCAGGAUUCGGCUGGAUUUUCUCUGAUCCUCUGCGACAAACGGAGAUCCAGGACAGAGCAGUGGCGAGCAACGUUUCCUCCCCUCUAAUGGCGGAGGCUUCAGCGGUUCUCCUGGCCACCCAAUCUGCUUCCGCUCUCGGAUUCUCAAUUCUUCUCUUCGCUUCAGACUCACAACAGUUAGUCAAAGCGCUCAACGGGGAGCUCCAAUUUUCGGAACUCCAUGGGAUUCUACAUGAUAUCCUCACCAUCUCUCUCACCUUUGCUGAAGUUCGUUUCGUUUAUGUUAGGAGAGAAAACAAUAGGAAAGCUGAUGAUUUAGCUAAAUCUGCUUUAAAUUCAAUUUCCCCUGUAUCUGUACCGGUUUUUACUUAAUGCAAACCAACCAUCUUUGACAAAAAAAAAAAAGUCACUCUUCGUUUUGCACAAAAAAAAAAAAAAAAAAAAAGACACUCUUCUUUGAAUUUCUUUUAAAGAGAAUAACCUUUGUCUUUUUCUUUGUUCAACUAAAAGAGAAUAACCUACACGUUGAAUUAUUUUGUUACAGGUAAUUAUUUUGUCUAGUGGUUUAUUUGAAGCUAAUUAGAAUUUUCUUACCGAAUAUAUGUACUAGACUACUAGUGCUGUAUGUAUAUUUUAAACGUUUUGGAAUAAGCCUUGUAUAGAAAAUAUGUAUCAAACACUUUAUUUUAGUUUACAAAUACGAAUUUCGUAAUUAUUUUGGAUGAAUAUAUUGGAAAAUUUUGCUCGCUUGUUUGGAUUAUAUUGAGGCGAAGGGAGACCAAUCCAGCAAGAAACCAUGUGAUCAGUGGCGUAUAGUUUUAUAGAUAUAUAAGAAAACGAAAGGAUAAGGAUAUAUAAAAUUAGAUAUAAAUCCCAAAUGAUAUCCUCUAUAGAUGGUGAUCGAUAAAGACACAUGGGCUUCUUCAACUUUUCUUUUAUGCGACGAAACAUGUAUGCAUCGGAUGUGUUCCUGUCGUAACCAAAAUAAUUUUAUUUUGUAGUACUAGUUAUAUAAAAAUAUCCUUAACUAUUUCUUAUCUUAUCCAUAUCCCAUAAAAAGAAAACUGAGUAACACAUUGCUGUCACCUAGAAUUCAAAAUUUUGAAGUAACCAAAAAAAAAAAAAUUCAAAUUUGCCUUUUCUAGUUAACCAAUUCAAAACGAAACAUUGAGAUCGACGCCUAUUCGGACUCGAUGUUUUGAUCAGUGUUCUAAAAAGCGGUCUAGGCGGUCGCCUAGGCCCCGACUAGGCGCUAGGCUCUUAUGCGACGCCUAGAUAACCGCCUUGACCGCCUAAAAUUACACAGAUCUUGUUUAAUGUAUUUUUUCAAUUUUAAUUAGAGUUUUAUUUAUAUAUAUAGUUAUAAAUAUUCAUAUAUUGUUUAAUAUAAAUAUAAAUAAAUGUUUUAUCUAAUUUUUGUUUAUAAUUUCAUAAUUUUUAGUUUUAUAUAGAUAUUUUAUAUAACUUUUAUAUAUAAUAUCAUAUUUAUAAUAUUUUAUGUUAUAAACGUCUAAACCGCCUAAAAAAUCGCCUAGGCCCCGAUUAGGCGUUCUAGGCGCUAGGCAUUGGGUCACCGCCCGCUUAGCGCCUAGCGCUUUCUUGAACACUGGUUUUGAUACAUAAAAUUACUAAAACUGUAGAUUACAUUUUUUUUUUUUUUUGGUUCAAAACAUUACAUAAUAUUUGAAAAGUCAUAUAAACAUCCAUAACAUAUUAUGUCAGCUUCUAAUUUAUUCAAACAAAACAUAGAAACAUGUUUCUAUUUCCAAACUGAAUACUGUUUCAUGUAUUUAUUCUUGGAAAUAAAUAAACUGCUAACUCUCAAUAUUGCAAAAGAAUUGGAACUUCUAGACAAAUAGUAAAAGAAUUUAGCUAAAAUAGUUAUUAAAAAAAAUCAGGAAUAAAAAAAAUAGAAUUAUUGCAUCUAAAACAGCAGAGACCAUAAAUAAGUUGUAUUAAUGAAAUUGAUAUUUUCUGGAUCACGACAUUGGAUGUUUGUUUAAAACAAUAAUUUUGGGAAAUCGCAAAGGGUUAUAGCGCCGAACAAAGAAUCUUCUUCAUGCUUCUCCCAAAUUUUUUGUUUUUUUUCUUGGGCAACCAAAAUUAUUAUAGUAAUCCGAAUAAACAACUUACUAUUGAUGACCGGUUAAUCGAUAUCGAAACUAUUAUUAAUAGAAAUCGGGUCUUUAUGACAUUUAUUUACGGUGACCCUGUUGUUUCAAACCGCGAAUAUGUGUGGGAAAGAUUAAUGCGUAUCGGAGUCGCAAGAUCCGAGGCUUGGUUUAUCAUUGGCGAUUUUAAUGAGAUAACAGGGAAUCAUGAGAAAAGAGGAGGGAAAAAACGUUCGGAAGCCUCCUUUCUACCAUUUCGUGCUAUGAUACAUUCAUGUGGUCUUAUUGAUUUCUCCUAUCAUGGAAAUCAAUAUUCAUGGAUUGGUCAACGGUCUAAUGGUAAGAUACGAUUUCGGCUUGAUAGAGCCAUGGGGAAUGAAGAAUGGCACAAUAUCUUUUCCCACACCAAUGUGGAGUACUUAAAGAUGUGGGGGUCGGACCAUAGACCAUUACUUGCAUCUAUUCAAUCUAAACCGAAAAAAAUUUCGAGAAUAUUUAUGUUUGACAAACGAUGGAUAGGGAAACCCGGGCUUACAGAAGCAGUGCUGGAAGGUUGGAACGGUGAAGGGCUACGGGAAGAUCGACCCAUAAUGAAGAAAAUUCAAAAUUGCAAAAGAGUAAUCUCCAUUUGGAAGAAAUCAACCCGAACAAAUUCGGAGACCCUAAUUAAAGAACUCCAUGAUAAGAUUGAGGCAAAUUAUGCUGAUGAUGAAACUUCUCUAGAAUCGCUUCGUGAUCUUAAAAAACAAUUGGGAGAGGCUUACACAGAAGAAGAAAUUUAUUGGUACCAAAAGAGUCGCCAAAAUUGGCUGGCAUUAGGAGACAAAAACACAAAAUACUUCCAUGCUUUAACAAAACAAAGAAGGGCAAAGAAUAAAAUCCUAGGCAUUCUAGAUGACAAUGGCGCAUGGGUGGAUAAUGAAGAAGGAAUCGAGAGAGUCGCUGUGGAUUAUUUUCACAAUCUCUUCUCCUCCUCGAACGAGGUAGAUCCCACGGUAGUACUUAAUGAUAUAUCCCCUUCAGUCUCUCCGGCUAUGAACGAGUUUUUGGUCAAAGAAGUUACUGAAGAUGAGGUUAAGCUGGCCCUAUUCUCCCUAAAUCCGACGAAGGCCCCGGGGCCGGAUGGGAUGACGGCAUUAUUUUUUCAACGUUUAUGGGAAAUUAUAAAAGGCGAUCUCACUAAAAUGGUGAAGAAUUUCUUAAGCUCCGGUAUUUUUGAUGGGAAACUAAAUGAGACUAAUAUUUGUCUAAUACCAAAAGGAGAGAGAUCGAGGGUAAUGUCGGGUUUUCGGCCUAUUAGCUUAUGCAAUGUAAGCUAUAAGGUAAUCUCGAAGAUUUUGAGCUUGCGUCUUAAAAAAUUCCUUCCGGAUCUGAUAUCCGAGACACAAUCUGCGUUUGUUGCGGGCAGACUAAUCACUGACAACAUCCUAAUCGCUCAGGAGAAUUUCCAUGCUCUACGCUCUAACCCGACAAACCGAAAAAAGUUUAUGGCGCUAAAAACGGACAUGAGCAAAGCAUACGACCGAGUAGAAUGGACGUUUCUUCGAGCCCUUAUGGAAAAGAUGGGGUUCGACCCCAAAUGGGUCAAUUGGAUAAUGCAAUGUAUCACCUCCGUCUCAUAUCGUGUCCUGAUUAAUGGGGAACCCAAAGGUCGUAUUCGACCAUCACGUGGAAUUCGUCAAGGAGACCCCAUUUCUCCGUACUUAUUUAUACUCUGUACGAAAGCACUUAUAGCUCUGAUUAAAAAGGCCGAGAGGGAAGGGAAAGUCCAAGGUCUCCGGAUUUCUUUUGCAAGCCCUCGAGUAUCUCAUCUUUUGUUUGCAGAUGACAGUUUGUUUUUCUGCCAAGCCAAUGCCCAACAGAGUAAAGAGGUUAUCGAUAUUAUCCGCUCUUAUGGCCGGGCGUCGGGUCAAGAGAUUAAUCUCACCAAAUCUUCCAUUAUGUUUGGUAAUGAGGUCCCAACUCCCCUAAGACAAGAAAUGAAAUCAAUCCUCGGGAUUUCGCGGGAAGGAGGGAUGGGGACAUAUUUAGGGUUUCCAGAAAAGAUCCAUGGCUCCAAGGCCCAAGUCUUUGCGUUUGUAAGAGAUAGACUACAAACACGAGUUAAUUCAUGGUCCUUUCAAUUCCUCUCUAAAGGCGGUAAAGAGGUCCUAAUUAAGUCUCAGGCACAAGCUCUUCCGACAUAUGUCAUGUCGUGUUUUCUAUUGCCAAAAGCAAUAUGUUCCAAACUUAAUUCUGCAAUUGCCAGAUUCUGGUGGAGUAAUAAAGUGGAUAGUAAGGGAAUCCACUGGAUUGCAUGGGAUCAAAUUUGUACACAACUUUCGGAUGGUGGCCUUGGUUUUAGGAACCUGGAAGACUUUAAUCUCACACUUUUAGCGAAGCAAUUAUGGAGAUUGCUAAGAUUUCCGGAAUCACUCCUUAUUCGGGUUCUUAAAGGACGGUACUUCCGGUAUAAUAGCCCAUUAGAGAUUACUGUCUCUAACCGGCCAUCGUACGGGUGGCGAAGUAUGUUGGCCGCCAAAGAUGUCCUUAAAUAUGGAAUCCGCAAGACUAUUGGAUCUGGGUUUGAGACUUGCAUUUGGACCGAUCCUUGGAUUCCAGACGACCCGGCUCGUCCCCCGAAGGGAUUGAAUAUAGAGUGGGACCCAUUAGUCUACGUCAACACCUUAAUAGACUUUGGUACAAAACAAUGGAAAAUUGAGCGGCUCCGGGAAUUAUUUCCUCCGGAUGAGAUUACCCUCAUUCUAGGGAUAAAACCGAGCCUUAACGUCUCGAGGGAUGGAUAUAGCUGGACCAUGACGAAGUCGGGCAAUUAUUCCGUCAAAUCUGGAUAUGAGGCCGCGAGAACCAUUUCUCGCCCUGUUUGCGACCACCCUUUUCAGGGACCUAGUGUUACGGCACUUAAGGCGCAAGCUUGGAAAUUAAAAACUACGCGAAAACUAAAACAUUUCGUGUGGCAAUGUGUGUCAGGUUGUUUGGCCUCCUGCCAACGACUAUUUUAUCGCCAUAUUGGUAGAGAUAAAGGAUGUCCUAGAUGUGGUGCAGAAGAAGAGACGAUUAAUCACUUGAUCUUUGAAUGCCCUCCAGCUAGACAAGUCUGGGCCCUUUCUAAUAUUCCUUCAUCUCCUGCCCUAUUUCCAUCAUCUUCGUUGUACAAUAACCUAGAUUAUUUGUAUUGGCGGGGUAAGGAGGUAGGUGCAAAUGAAGAGAGCCUAAGGGCUUUUCCAUGGAUCAUGUGGUACAUUUGGAAGGCGCGAAAUCGAAAGAUCUUUGAUAAUUUGAGCGAACCGCCCCAGGAAACCUUGAACAAAGCAACUCAGGAGGAAGAGGAGUGGAGACGGGCAAACCAGAGAGAGGACCCCCAACCUGUGAGGAAUUCGACGGUUCAGGUGACGCCACCUCCAGACGAUAGACCGGUGUGCUUUAUUGACGGGUCUUGGCAUAGAGAUACAUCUAGGAGUUUGCUGCUCGUUGGUAGUGGAAUGCUGACUAACCGUCUCCGUCCCCCUAUGAUGAGAAAAAGCUGUCCGCAGCCGUUAGUGCAAGGGCUCGAUAUUCCGUUUCCGUAGAAGAACGAGACACUGUGGGCUGGCGUUUUGCGGACCAGGAGAUAAUAUUGCAUCCGAGAAACGUACAGAAUCCAGUUGUAGACCUCCUCGUGGAUGUACAUCCUGCCCAGUCACUAUCACAGAAGGCCUGAACAUUGAGCUUGCUGUUUUUGUGAAUAUACAGCCCAUGAAAGAUGGUGCCUUUAACAUAGCGAAGGACACGCUUCAGGAGAUCAAAAUCAGCGAGUGUAGAUCUUUUCGGAAAGGAGGAGUAGGAUGAGUCAGCUUAUUCUAUAGAUACUGUAAAAGCCAACUCAUGUUUCCACUCAAUUUUCAUUACGAAGAUGUAUCACGUCAAGAUCCGUUGCUCAAACCGAAUCACGCCAACGUUAUGGAAGUUCCUGGAUCGUGUGAAAUAAGAGUAGUACCAAAGGCACCCUAUAAUUUCAUAAUAAAAAAUGGAAAAUUGGCUAUGGAGAUUCCGCGCGGUCAGAAAUUCAUACAGACACAAAGGGGUUCGACAGGAAAGUCCUUUCGAUCUAAUCCAUUCUUGGGGUCAAAUAAAGACAAAGGAUAUGGGUGUAUCGUUACGUGUGGAGGAAGAUUGUUGCACCUAGGACUCAAGGGCUCACGCAGAAGCCUCUCCCCUCUGCAUGCGGAAUUGGAGACACUAUUAUGGGCGAUGAAGUGUUUACUUGCGGUUCAGAUUAAUACUAUCAUCAUUCUUACGGAUUGCACAGAUCUUAUUGAGAUGACUUCAAGUCCUGAGGAGUGGCCUACUUUUUCUACAGAGAUGAGGGAUUUUGUGCAUUAUAGAGACUUAUUUUCUAUGUUUAGUAUUAAGUAUAUCCCUCGUAGUGGUAAUACCUCCGCCGAUCAUCUUGCAAAAUGUGAAAGAAUACGCAGGUUUUGCUUUUCCCAUGUAAGUUCGACGGUAUCCGAUUGGCUCUCUCUAGAAGAGAGUUCUUAUCCGUGAAUUAAUAUAUGGAGUUUGAUCGUAAAAAAAAAAAAAAAAAAACAACUUACUAUUUCAUUGUUUAAUAUUCUGAAGGGAAUCGAUAUUGUCAGUGAUCCAGAUCAAGAAUCAUAAUAUCAAUCAAAAUCACUUGUUCCCAAAGAUUCGAUCAAAACCAAAACAAAACAAAACUAAAAAAACUCCAUUUCAAGCCGUUGAUUUACAACAAAAGUAAAACCACCAGCUUCUUCAACUAUUUACAGUUUGUUACAUUAGUAAAAAGAUAGAAAAUUACUCUCAGUGCCACAAACCUCUGAAACAAGCUACCAUUUUUUUUAGCUCAAUCAGGGUUACAGAGAAGACCGGUAAAACCCCAAAAAAACAAGAAAAGAUUUUUACAUUUUUUUUCUUUUCAACUUUGACAAAAUUUACCAUCCAUUUGAUUCUGAACGGCUCUCACAGCAGCCACUCUUGCAGCCGUAGCAGCCUUAUUAGCUGCAGCCACGGCUCGGCUCACCUGCUCAUCUACUCGUCUCCGAUUCACUGCCUUAUUCGCUGUUUCUCGAGCCGCCUGUAAUAUUUUCAAGUUAAAGUUUUUCACUUUUUGUCAGUUCCAACAACUGAGUCAACUCUGGUCUAACAAAAAAAAUUACCUGAACCGCUCUUGAAACUGGCUCACUCGCAAGAGGAAGAGAAGUUACAAGCUUCCCUGAAUCCCAUUCACCAGAUUUAGCAUCACCAGUUCUAAACGAGUAAGCACCAAACCCUUGCUUACGACCUUCAUGCCAUGCUCCUUCAUAACAAUGACCAUUAGCAAAUCGAUACACACCAAACCCAUGAAUCUUGUCUCCAAAAUACUCUCCUGCAUACUUAUCUCCAUUUCUGACAAAAACACAAAGAUUGUGUCUUUUAAAAUCAGAUUACAUAAAAAAAUAAAAAAAAACUUUAAAUCAAGAUUCAAGACAGAUAUGUAUACCUGAAAUGGUAAGAACCAAGACCAUGUUUAACACCAAAUCUAGACUCACCAACAUAAGAGCUUCCAUCAGCACAAGAUUGACCACCAAAACCAUGGCUUUGACCAUUAAACCAUUCACCAGCAUAACAAUCACCAGUGUAGAAUCUAUAAACUCCAUUACCAUGUCUAAGACCUUGUCUAUAUUGACCUUUAUAUCUACUUCCUCUAGCCCAACUCUCAAUCCCAUGACCAUCAUAUCUCCCAUCUAUCCAAUCUCCUUCAUAUCUUCCUCUCACGAAAUAGUAAUACACACCACUUCCGUUACACUUCCCUUUGUGAAAUUCACCUUAGUAGAAAUCUCCAUUACUGUAGAAUUGAACUCCUUCUUUAACGAACCGCUUUAUGAUCUUCUUCUCCGGUUUAGUAUCGUCUCCGAUGUACCAUUGUACCGGUUUUGAUUUUGAGUUUCUGCUCUGAAAACCGAAGUUUUUAGUGGUUUCGUCGCAGAUUUGUUUGAUUGCGAUUACGGUUUGGUUAAGAAGAGCGAUGUUCUUGGAGGCGAAGAAGAAGAUGGAUUGAGGAAGAUUAAAGCUAGUAAAAGAUUUUCCGGUGUGAGAAUCUCAUCGGUUUGUGAGAAGACGACGAAGAAGAAGAACGAUGAGAGACUGAGGAAAGAGAGAGACACCAUUGUGAAUGCUAAACCGGGGUUAAUCCGAGUUAAACCGGAUUUAGGACUUGAUGAACCGAAUGGUUUAGGUGGUUUUCUUCUCUGCUUCUCUUCUUUCUCUCCGGCUUCUAGAUCUUGUUCGCCUUCGACGAUUGAAGAUAAGCUUUGAAAUGACGAACGAAGAUUCGACGAUGACCGGAGCAACGACGACUGUGUCCUCGUUAGCUUCGCCUGUUUUUCCAUUUCUUCUCAAAAACUUCGAAAACUAUCAAAACCGGAAAACAGAGUCUUCGAUCACGGAAGUGAGAUUCCGGUUAUAACCGAUUUCUCCGGCGAGAGUACACUAACCGCUGCUUCACCACCGUAACUAGCAUCACGCACGACUUCGACAAAGAAAGAGAGAGAGGGAGAGAUUUGUAAUUAUUGUAACAGUGACUAUUCGCUUUCUCUUUUGUUAAUUUUCCGGUACCGGAGAAAUUUUAACGGCGAAGCUCACUUAAAGAGAGAAUGAGAGAGAGAAUCGAGAGAAGAGAAAUUAGACCGGGUUUGGGUUUAAUUUAAAGAGAGAAAGUGAUAACAUUGGAUUUAAUAAGGACCGUUAGAUUAAAAUCAGACGGUUGAUUAAGUGAAUCGAAGAAGGAGAGCCGUUGGAUGGAGAGGAAGAGAGGGGUGACCGGUGAUGACGGUAAUAUGUAUAUUGGUCGACGGAUCCAAACAUGAACGGUUUUUUAGCUUUACUGUUGCAAAGCUGGCACGUGCCACUAUAUUACACAGUCAGAGAUUAAUUAAUUUACUUUUUUUUUUUUUCCUUUUUUUGGGACAAUGACAUAAGUCUUAUUACUAAAUUGAUUUACAAGAAAUCACCAAAAAAAAAAUUGAUUUACAGAAAAAAUCUCUGUUUUUUUGCAGAGUUUCUAUUUUUUUUUUGGCAGUUUAAUACGUGUAUUUUUAAAUUUGGAAUAAAAAUACCUUAUUUAAUUUCGAUUGCCUUUUAAAACUAUCGUUUCUUAAACUCGGUAAUUUCAUUUCAUAUUUUAACUUGAAUNNNNNNNNNNNNNNNNNNNNNNNNNNNNNNNNNNNNNNNNNNNNNNNNNNNNNNNNNNNNNNNNNNNNNNNNNNNNNNNNNNNNNNNNNNNNNNNNNNNNUUUCCACCUUAUUUGGGAAGACGGCAGGUGCAGCUCCUAUGUGGUAUAACAAUGAUAUGCGAAUCUCAAAUCCGAUGACAUUCUUAAAAAUGAUUUGUUGAUUCUUUGGACAUUGGAGAUCUGAGAAGAUGAAGUGAAGAACAAAAAAAAAAAAAAAAAAAGGAAAAACAAGUUCAAGACUCGAAACCCAGUUCGGGUGGUUUUCCAAAAGAAACACGCUACCACCAAGCCACAUUAACUAUCGCUACAAAUAUUGCAGACAGAUUGUAUAUAUAUAUAUAUAAAGACGCGGGGUUAAAAUUUAACGCCGUUAAAUAAUUCCGUUACGCCAAGUAACGACUGUUAAGUUUCGGGUUCGAAAUUACCGAGUUUUAAAAAACGAUAGUUUUAAAAGGCAAUCGAAAUUAAAUGAGGUAUUUUUAUUCCAAAUUUAAAAACACACGUAUUAAACGGCAAAAAAAAAAAUAGAUGGCGGUUUUUUCGGGUUUUUUCCCUAUCAACAUUCAACAAGAACGUUAAAUUCAUUUUCUUUUUUGGUAAGAAAUCUGGUGGGUGAUCUGCCAGCAAGAUUGUUGAAACCGAUUAAUUACUAUACAUGGAAUUUGUUUUCAUUUUUCAAACAAAAUAUUUAUGGCCAAGAAAAAAAAAGAGAGGUUGGAUCUAAUCAAAUCGUGAAUAACCCAUUUAACCAAACAUCCUCGUUUGGUGCAGUCCAUGUUAUUAGCCUCCGAGAUUAGUUAUAUUUCAAACAACAUAACGUAACUAAAAUUACUUUAGACCUUCUUGUACUCGGGUACGGUUUUUUUGCCCAGGCCUAUAACAAUCUUUUUCUUACUAGUCAAAUCAUACAACAAUGGUAUAGUUGCCGUGAUAGUAGUUCCACUUGAUAAUUUUUUUAAUUCAUGACUACUUUAUUGCUAACAACGUUGGAUUAUAAAAUGGAUUAAACAGGAUAUUAUCAUUUAAGCAAACAUCUCUUUCAAUGAAAUCUAAAGUCAAAACUCUGUUUCAAUCACGUCCAUUUUAACUUUCGGUUUUCGAUAAGGGCAAUUCAAUGGUAACAGAGCCAUGCGUGGGCAUAGUCGUUAUCUUCGAAAUUAUCACAUUUUGGAAAGGUCAUAUUUUUUACCGAAAUUUACCUAGUUUAACCCAAAUUUUGGGAUUAAUAACUAGAUUAACAUCCAAUAAUUGUGGUUUACUAGAAUAACAUAAAAUUUGUGUAAAAAGACCAAUUACCCAUUUUAUUUAAUUUCUCCUAAAAUAAAAAAAAAAUUAAACAAAAUUAAAUUUAAAUUAAUUAAACAAUCUAAACGUGGAAGCCUCGUUGACUCAUAGGUUGACUAAGGGUUAAUUAAUGCUUAUACACCAAGAGGUAUGGGGUUCGAGUCCCAGAUACUGCGAUUUAUUUACCAAUUUGCAGAUUAAUGGAGACAAGUGUGCAGGAGAUCUCCAGCGAUGUACAAUUAUAGCCGUUCGCCAAGAUUCUACGUAGAGAAGGAAGUGUCGUCAGGUCGUGAAUCAUCGAAGGUGUCUAUCAAGAGCAUGAAGAAGGAAGUGUCGUAUGCGUGGAUCUAAUAAGGGUCGGAAGGAAUUGUCCGUUGUAGAAUUGUCUAUGUAACAGUUCUCAUAAUUUGCAAUAAAUAAUAAAUUCAGACGUCAAAAAAAAAAAACAAUCUAAACAAAUAUUUUUUUAACCCUAACCUAAUCUAUUGACUUCCACUCUUUUAUUUUCCAGCAAACAAAAAAAAAAAAGAAAAAACUUCUCGAUUCCUCUCAAAUCGAGUUCGUCUUCUCCAGCAAAGACACGAAGAUAAGGAAGUCGAGUUCGCGAUUCUUGGUACCGCCGAUUCGAACUGAGCAGCAACAUGCGCCGGUUCUCCUUGUUUGAAGAAUCCGCCGUCAAUUUGAGUGGUCGCGUCAAUGAUUGACUCUUCCCCUUCUCUGGAGGUUCUUCUAUUUCUCGGCGUCUUCGGCGCUUCCUUGUCGUCCCAUCAUCUCCGGCGAAUCCCCGAAAACCCUAAUCUUUGUUUGCCACCGCCGUUUGACUCUCCUUUUGUGUGUUGUUCGAUUGACUAUUCCUCUUUUCCGGUGGUCCACUAAUUUCCCGGCGUAAUCGGAAACUGAUAGUGAAGGAUUUGAUGUGAGUGGAUCGGAGGGUGAUGAUACAUUGUGGAUCUCUUGGUUUUGUAAUUUGAGAGGGAAUGAUUUCUUUUGUGAAUUCGAUGAAGAUUAUAUUCAAGAUUAUUUCAAUCUUUGUGGAUUAAGUGGUCAAGUUCCUUACUAUGAUUAUGCACUUGAUCUCAUUGGGUAGAGAAUGAGGGCUAAAAGAAGUUGAAAGAUGGAAUCUUGAAAGUAUCUCAUGAUGUUACAAGAACUUAUAAGAUUGAAAUAAUGACACUUGGGUCUUGUCUCCAAAAUGAUUUUCCCCAAUUAGUUGGAUUUUGUUUGAAUUGUUAGAUUAUUAUUUGAUUUCCUAAUUUCAUGUAAAACUCAUAAAAUUUUCAAUUGAAGGUUAACUUUAGAACAAUCAAUUCCAUCAAAGAUCCUAAGAAAUGGCCAUUAAAAUACACUCAAGGGACCAAGAUCUAAACUAAACUUGUCAAAGCAUCUAAUCAUGAUGAUUACGACACAAAAACUUAAACAUAGAGCACUGAAUGUAGGAUUUCAGUAAGAGAUCAUUGCCACACCUAAAUUUAGUUGGUUAAGUAAAGCCAAGCCAAUUUGAACAUUAGUAGAACAAAUCUGAAGUUCUUGGUAAUCAAACUUUGAUAAAUUAGGUUACCUUAUUAUGCAUUUUAUAACAAAAACCGUUAAUCAUAUAUCACGACAUAAGUAUUGUUUAAAACAAAUCAUCCAUCAGAUAAGAACAAAAAAACUGUCAUAAUAGGAAUUAAAAUUUAAAUAUGUCAAUGCAUAAAACAUAUCUGCUAUCACUAUAUAACAUAUUAUUAAUAAAACUGCUAUCAUACAACAUAUUUUUUGUAACAUAUUCGAAAUCUGUCGUAAUAUACAAAAAAUAUGUGAUAACAUAAAACAAUUCGGUUGCGACUAUAUGUCAUUCUAGAAAUUUAUAUUUUUAAAUAACAAAUCUGCUAUCACUCUCCAGAUUUUUGUUUUUAAAAAAAAAACUGUCAUAACAUAAAAUAAAUCUGUUAUCACAAAUAAAUCAAACUAGUUAUUUCUUUUUUUAUUAACAACUCUACAUUAUGGCAGAUUUCUAUCGAAAAAUAUAAGUCUGACGCCACUGAAAACAUAAAAUUUUCAUGCAUUUUAAUAAGAAAUAUUUACUCAGAUGUUAACCAAAAGUUCGAAUAUUACUAGAAUAUCAUACAUUUUCUAAAAAUUACUCAUAUGUUUUGAGCAUUUGUGUAAUUACAAUUAACACCCUUCAUUAGUUUUUUUUUAAUUAAUAAUUUUUAAUUCAUUUUUAAUAAAAAUAAUAAAUAAAAAUUUGAUUAUCCAUGUCAUUAAUCCACCUCACCAAUCUCACAUUCCUCAAACUCACGUUAUUUAUCCUCUUCUCCUUUUUGUCUCCAAAUCCAAGAAAAGCUUUUAGAUCAUUUCUCCUCUUCUCUUUUUUUUUUGUCUCCAAAUCCAAGAAAAGCUUUUAGAUCUAAUAAUCUGCAACUAACUUGGGUACAACAUUGACAUAGAUCUUCAAAUUGCAGGAUUGGGCUGGAUCUUCCUAGACCUCACAGCCACAACGCUUGCCAUAGGGUCCCAAAUCAAAAGCUUCGUCAGAUCUACUCGCAAAAAGUCAUCAAAAAUCAAAACCCAAAACAAAGAGAUCUAUGAAAUUCUACAUGAUUCGUUACAGGUUUGAGUUGAAAUUAAGAAUAGCUACUCUUUUACUUUGAUUUUACAUGUCUCUCGUUUAAUCUUCCUCUCAAUCGAUCUAUUUGGGGACAUUUCUACUUCUAUCUAUGUUUUGAUUCAUACGGUUUAGUCUUCCUCCUAUGUAUCCCUCAAACAUAUUUUUACGAAUCUUAAUUUGAUUGUUGUUAUUUGACCAAUAAAUUUCAUAUUGUCUUCUCCAAAAAAAUGUUGCUUUCCGAUCUGUAUUAUAAAUCAGCCGUAAAGUGAUGUAACUCAGCCGUAACGUGAUGUAACUCAGCCGUAACAUAUAAUUUACACAACAUUUCGUCUUCCCUGAAUGAUAACUCAGCCGUGACAUGUAAUUUACCGAACCUUUCGUCUUCCCUGAAGCAUAUAACUCACCCGUAACAUAUAAUUUACACCCAUCUAUCGUCUUCCCUGGAGAAUAUAACUCAGCCGUGACAUGUAAAUUUACCGAACCUUUCGUCUUCCCUUAAACAUAUAACUCAGCCGUAAUGUAAUUUUACCGAACCUUUCGUCUUCCCUGGAACAUAUAACUCAGCUGUGACAUGUAAAUUGACCGAACUUUUCGUCUUUCCUUAAGCAUAUAACUCAGCCGUAAUGUAAUUUUACUGAACCUUUCGUCUUCCCUGGAACAUAUAACUCAGCCGUGACAUGUAAAUUGACCGAACUUUUCGUCUUCCCUUAAGCAUAUAACUCAGCCGUGACAUGUAAAUUUGUAGCGAAACAAUAAGAGACGCAACAUUUCCUCUAACUUUAUCAUCGAGCACCAACUUCACAAGUUUUUUCGUGCGUUGUUUUCGCAUCUAUCUGCACAACUCUACACCCUCUUUCAUCGGUGUUAAAUACGUAUUUGUGUUUUUAUACCCAAUUACCGGAACCGGAUCAACCAUAUCGGGAGAAGGAUGAAAGAAAUUGAAGAAGAAUGAGGAAGACGAUGAGGAAUUGCAAGUUCCGGUGAUGUGAUAAACUCAGGUGAAGAAAACGAGUUGAGAAAAUUUGGCCCUAUUUUUUUGUCCUUUGAUGAUGAUGACAUGGAAUGAUGACAUGGAAUGUUGCAUCCACGUCAUUUUUUAAUUGAUGAAGUGGCAAGUAAGCCACCAAACGAAAAUGUAAAUCAACUUAAUUAAACCAGCCAUCAAACAAAACUUUAACUGAGCCGCAACAUGAAUACUAUUACAGUAAUUAAAAAACGAAAAAACGGCAGCCAAAUUCAGCCGUUUACUGUCGUAACUCAACAAAAAAUAUUUAACUCAGUCGUGUCAUUUAAUAAGUCGGCCGUCAUUGCAUGCUAUUCUAGUAAUUAAUCUUUCGCUACUAAGUCAGCCAUAAUAAGGCCGAGUUUUCCGUUAAUCCAGCUCAUUACGGCUGAUUUAUGAUACUCGAACAUAAAUCAGCCGUAACAUCAUCCCAUAACUAAGCCGUCUUUGAUAACUCAGCCAGCCGGAGAAAGUUAAGUCAGCCGUGUCGAAGCAAUAACUCAGCCAAAAAUUUGACAAAUCAACCAUCGGGUGAAAACUCAGCCGUAACUUAGGCUGGGUUAUGCUCGAAAGUCAGCCAUUUUAUCAUAACUCAGACAGAUUUCAGUAAGUCAGCCGUAACUCCAGGCUGGGUUAUACUCGUAAGUCAGCCGUUUGCUCAUAACUCAGCCAUUUUUCUUAAAUCAGCCGCAACAUACCGUAACUCAGCCGUCAUUGCCGCUAUAUCGCUCGACGGCUGAGUUCAUUAAUACACGUCAGCAAUUUCUGACGUGGUGACACGGCUUUGCUGACGUGGCAGUGGCAUUCUUUGUAAUUACGUUUUUUCCUGUAACGUUUAACAGGGGCACGCUGGGUAUAAAAAAUAUACCCGAAAUAUGAUAGUAAUAAAAAAAGAUCUGUAUGUUUCUGGUAAUUUCAUAUAAAAUGUAUAACAUCUGAGUAAAUCUCCCUUUUAAUAAAUCUGUCAAAAUUACGAAAGUCUAUGAUGUCAUCAUAAUAUAAGGGGGUGUUAUUCAACCAUGGAGUUAAAGUCAAUUCUUUAAGGUUUAGAUUUGUUUUCUGAUAUUGUUUUUAAGAAUCUGUUUGUGUGGAUUUCAAAAUCUCUGCAGUAUAUCUUGGAUUUUGAUUCUAAUAAUUUACUCAUAAAACUCCAAAGAGGUUUCAUUUCAAAUGAUUUAAUAUACAAAGAUUUUACAAGUCUUUUAGUUUUGAAUAACACUGGAUUUUAAUGAAGUAUUUUAAAUCUUAGUUGAAUAACACCAAACUAUUAAAAUCUAAUGAAGUAUAAGAUCCAAUAACACCAAAUUUUAAAGUUAGAUUUAGAAUCAUUAGUUUAAUAACACCGGAUUAGUGUUGGAUUUCAAUUCUAUUAAAAUCCAUCAAUGAAUAACACCACCUAAGUCUAACGUGUGGAAAAAAAUCUGCUACAAAUUAAAAAUAUGUCAUAAGUAUAUUCUGAUAAGUCUGUGGGAGGAAAAAAAUUUGGCGCAGAAAAUCUGUCGUAGCCAAUUAAGUCUGUCGUAAAAAAAUAAACCUGUCACAACUAAAGCCGCAGACUUUUAAUGGCAGAUUUUUCUCUUUCAAAAAUUUUCACCAACGUUUUUUUAAAAAAUUGAGGGUAAUUUUGAAUUUUAUUUUUUUCCUAACAAAUGAAAAAGGGUAUUUUGGUCAUGAAAAUAACUAGAUUAACCUUUAAAUUUCAUAAGUUAUUUUAGUAAUUAAAUCUAAAUUUUGGGUCAAACUAGUAUUUUUUACUUGGUAAUUUUUUGUUUUUGAGAAAGGGUUAUUUACUUGUCAAAUUGUAACCCAUUAAUAUACAAAAAUGAGUUUUCUUAUUUAUACUCUAGUAAAUUAACAUGAUUACGAGGAUAUAUAUGAAUGAUAGUGUUUUUAUUCCUGGUCUUUUUUUUUCUAAUGUAAGUUGUCAUUUGAUCACAUCUUACGCAGCAUGUCCAAAAAAUUUAUUAGAGACUUAAUCAUUGAAGAGAAUAUGAAACACAAUCAAUAUGUAUUGUACUUCUUCAAUUGUUUUCACAUGUAAAUAACAUAGUUAUUAUCCUCCAGUUCGAGGCCUUAUUAUUCACUUAACGACUCUGUAACUAACUUACAACAAUAUCAAAGGAAGAAAAUGAGCUCCACGUGAACAUAGACUCACGAAGCUUCAAAGAAAACCAACAACAGAAACAGAGCAAGCUUUUGAGACUACUGUCAAAAAAAAAAGCAAGCUUUUGAGAGUGAAUUUAGUAGGCCUGGGCUUUCGGUUAUCCGUUCGGUUAUCGGUUGGGUCCAUUCGGUUUUCGGUUCUUUCGGUUUUAAAAUUUAGUAUCCAUUCGGAUAUUUUGAAAUUUCGGUUCGGUUUCGGUUUGGUUUCGGUUCUUUCGGUUUUAAAAUUUAGUAUCCAUUUGGUUAUUUUGCUUAGGAUAUUUUUGGAUUUUUCGGUUAUUUUGAGUAUUUUCGAAUAUUUUUGGAUAUUUUUCGGUUAUUUUUGAGUAUUUUUACUAUUUUUAUAGAUUUUUCAAGUAUUUUUGAUUAUUUGGUCAAUAAAUAACUAAUUAUUUCGAAAAUACAAUUGUAUUUCGGGUAUUUCGGUUACCCGAAAUAUUUCGGUUCGGUACCGAUUCGGUUACGGUUAUUUCGGUUAUCAAAUUUAGUAUCCAUUCGGUUAUUUUCAAAUUUUCGGUUCGGUUCGGUUCGGUUUUUUUUUGCUUCGGUUUCGGUUCGGUUUAAAAGCCCAGCCCUAGAAUUUAGUAGACUAAUUCGGCCCAUUUCAUUCAAAGUCCAGCCACUUAGAUUUAGGCUGCUUUUUAGCCUCCCAAAAAAUUAAAUUUCAACUUUCAGGAGCCAAGUUUAUUCAAGCUUUGUUUAUUUUUUCGGUUUUGGGUUUUUCUGAUCAAAAUGAUAUUUGUUUUUCUGGUUUGUUUACCAAGUUUCAUGGAUGAAACAAAAUUAUUUCAUCUGUCAUAUGUCACUCAUAUCCGUUUCAUUCACCUCCAUUUCAUAUACAUAAUCUUUGUUCUACUAAUUCUUUUAAUGUUCACCACUUAGAUCUUCAAUCAAAAAGUAAACAUGCAAAAACUAAACCAUGAUUACAUCGUGUCAUAUCAUUAUGGAACCAUAACAUCGAUAUAAGCUCACACUUAGCAAGAGAUAUUGUCAUAUAUUCGUGUACAAGAACAAGGACACACUAGUAAAAUAGUCUCUUUAUUUAUUGAGAACAGUAGAUACAUAUAUUGAUCAAUCCAAUGAUACAAACCAUACAUAUAUAUAUAUAUAUGUUAUUAGAUUAAGUUACUUACAUAUCAAACCAAAAUAUCUGCAGAACCUUCUUAAUUAGAUAGGUAUUGUCACCUGGAGGGACGAGGUAGUCAAUGCCGACUGGAAUUUCAAGACAGUAUUUUUUGCACAUCUUUUCACAUAGGACAUGAGUCCCAUUUUUUACCACUUUCACACACUGGUUAGGGACACAAUUGUUAUAAUAUUGAAAGUCUUAGCACAUAACCAAAUGCCACUUUAUUUUUUGACCUUGUAACCAUAUAUAUGUUGCAUACAAAAAUCUAUUUUGAACAAAAGUAUGCAAUCUCUCUAAAAAUAUUUGUCGCUUGUAUGUAUAAUAGUAUCUUACUAUCUUACAUGAAAAGUAUUAACUAAGUGCUAAAAGACUCUAUUGCAUGGGUUUUAGUAUCUGGUUUUGGUCACAAAUGUGAAAACACAGUGUCAACAUAUACUUUUAUAUUUAAGAUGGUUUCUUAUAUUUUCAAUAGAAUCGGUUUUCGUAGUUUGAAAUGUUUAAAUACCGCAAGUGAGAAAUAAAGAGCACAACUAACGUCAUUGCAAUUCGAUGAAGGGAUGGGAUUAAUAAAAAUUGUAGUUAUAUAAUUACUGUAUUUUGGUUUGUUUGAUUUUAUUUUUGAUUAGGAAUGUGAUGAGCUCUUGUGCAAAGGCUAAAACCACUCUCAAAAGGAUUGUUCUUCAUUCUUUUUGCUCUUCGAUGCCACCAAAGCUAGCCUCUCCUCUCAGUGAGUCUCAUUGGAUAGACCCUGAUAUUGCAAACGCUUCAAUGUGAGAAAACACUUCUUAUCUUCAUAAAGAUUUUUGUUGUGAUUUUGGUGAAUUUGAUGAACUCGCAAUUUGAAGUAAACUAGGACUAUUUUGAUGUAAAUAAAUCUUAAUUGAUUUGAUUGAUGCACAGCUUUAUAGAGUUAGUUGAACGAGAAGGAAUCUAGACUCUAAGGACGUCGAUUGCGAGUCGAGAUAAUAAAUAUGCAUGAAAAAUAAAAAUCGCUAAUAAUAAGUUAAUAAUGCUAUACAAAUAUUGGUGAUAUAUAUUGAAUUUUUAUAAUUGAUUUGUUUUAAUGUAAAAUUUAAACCACAAAACCGAUCAGGUUAAUCAUAAACAAAACCAAACGGUUUUCAUUUACAUAUGUAUUUUUUCGAUAUAUUCGGUAUAGUUCAAUUGAAAUGGAUUCAAUCUAAGAAUUAGAGAGUUUUUUUCCUUUCUUUUUUAAUAAUUAUGAGUUGAAGAGUUGUUUGCAAGGUUGAGGUUUCAGAUUUCCGGAAGAUAAACUGUGAAGCGAUCCAGAAGAUAAAUGCGAUUUAAAUUUACAUCAUUUGAAUUCCUUUAGCUGGAUUAUUAAGAUAUAAAAUGAGCGACAACAUGCAUAUUUGUUACAAGAAAACUGACGUGAGAACAAUUAGACAACAUUGUAUAAGAAUUGGAUUAACAUAUAUGAAGAAACAAACAAUGAGAGCUUUUUUGAUUAUAGAUUAAUUAAUAGCACCACACAGAUUAGGAAACCAUCUGCAAAACCGGCUUUUAGUAGGCACAAUGUAUUUUUCUUUACCAUUUUGUAGGUCAUUGCAAAGUUUUUUGCAAGCAUCCUCGCACAUUGUAGGAGUAGCGUUUUUAACUUCUUUCAAACAUUGGUUUGAGACACAAUGUUUGAUACACAUAUCUACAUUAUUCGAAUGUGAGAUUUGUGCUGAAAACAUCAUUGUGAUUAAAGCUGUAACAAUCAAAAGAUUGCAUGUUUUCUUCAAACUUUGAGCUGCCAUAUCGUAUACGAAUGUAGUGAUAUUGAUUAGAACAAAUAUUAUAAAUAAAGAAGAUGAUUUGGUGAAGAAUGUUGUGUUUGUCUAGGUGAUUUAUAUAGUGAAGGUAAUGUUAUCUAUUUAUAGAAUUGGUUUUUUUGUUCGUCUUUCACGAUGGUGAAGAUUGCAUCUCUGUGAUUUAGUGUUAUGGUAAUCCAAACAACUUUAUUGUUAUGAGAUCUAAAGUCAAAACUCUGUUUCAUUCACGUCCAUUUAACUUUCGGCUUCGAUAAGGCCAAUGGUAAGAGAGCCAUGCGUGGGCAUCUUAAUUAGUCGUUAUCUUCGAAAUUAUCACAUUUUCGAAAAAGUCAUAUUUUUUACUUGUCAAUUUCUUUUUUGAGAAAGGGUUAUUACUUAUCAAAUUGUAAUCCAUUACUAUACAAAAAUGAGUUUUCUUAUUUAUACUCUAGUACAUUAACAUGAUUACGAGGAUAUAUAUGAUUGAUAGUGUUUUUAUUCCUGGUCUUUUUUUUCUAAUGUAAGUUGUCAUUUGAUCACAUCUUACGCAGCAUGUACAAUAAAAUUAUUAGAGAUUAAUUAAUCAUGUAAGAGAAUAUGAAACACAAUCAUUAUGACAUUAUGUAUUGUACUUCUUCCAUUGUUUUCACAUGUAAAUAACAAUUAGUAUCCUCUAGUUCGAGGCCUUAUUCCCUUAACGACUCCUUAACUAACUUACAACAAUAUCAAAGGAAGAAAAUAAGCUCCACGUAAACAUAUAGACUCGCGAAGCUUCAAAGAAAACCAACAACAGAAAUAGAGCAAGCUUUUGACUUUUGAGAGUGAAUUUAGUAGACUAAUUCGGCCCAUUUCAUUCAAAGCCCAGCCACUUAGAUUAAGGCUGUUUUUUAGCCUCCCAAAAAUUUAAAUUUCAACUUCUAGGACUAGGAGCCAAGUUUAAUCAAGCUUUGUAUAUUUUUUCGGUUUUGGGUUUUUCUGAUCGAAAUGAUAUUUGUUUUUCUGGUUUGUUUACCAAGUAUAUUUUUUGAUCGAAAUGGGUGAAACAAAAUUAGUCAUCUGUCAUAUCCGUUCCAUUCACCUCCAUUAUAUAUUGUACAUAAGCUUUGUUCUACUAAUUCUUAUAAUGUUCACCACUUAGAUCUUAAAUCAAAAAGUAAACAUGUAUAAACCAAACCAUGAUUACAUCGUGUCAUAUCAUUCUGGAACCAUAAUAUCGCUAUGAGCUGACACUUAGCAAGAGAUAUAGUCAUAUAUUCCUGUACAAACAAGGACACACAAGUAAAAUUAGUCUCUUUAUUUAUUGAGAGCAAUAGAUACAUAUAUUGGAGAUAUUGAUCAAUCCAAUGAUACAAAGCAUGCAUAUAUAUAUAUAUAUAUAUAUAUAUAUAUAUGUUAUUAGAUUAAGUUACUAACAUAUCAAACCAAAUAUCUGCACAACCUUCUUAGAUAGGUAUGGUCACCUGGAGGGACGAUGUAGUCAACUUUGACUGGCCCUUCAAGACAGUAUUUUUUGCACAUCUCUUCACAUAUGACAGGAGUCCCGUUUUUUACCACUUUCAUACACUGGUUUGGGACACAUUUCAAAUUGAUACACAUAUCUACAUUAUUCGAAUGUGAGAUUUGUGCCGAAAACAUCAUUGUGAUUAAAGCUGUAACAAUCAGAAGAUUGCAUGUUUUCUUCAAACUUUGAGCUGCCAUAACGUAUAUAAAUGCUGUGAUAUUGAUUAGAACAAAAGUUAUAAAUAAAGAAGAUGAUUUGGUGAAGAAUGUGAAGACAUAUGGAUGUCGGGCUACAUGAAGAUCCUGUGGAGCACAUGAGAGAGCUGUAUGCGGGAAACUGCAAGACAUUAAAUGAAGAUGAUGUGGCGAGCAGUGAUUGGUGAUUGGAAGUUUCCAGAACGUGAUGCUCAAGUUAUUCGGUGUAUUGAAGAUACGAUCAAAUCAAGGAAAGAAGAUUUGGUGUGAUCUGAAGAUUAGGAAAGUUGUCUAUGACGCUUCCUUUAUAUUCGCAGUCUAGACUUUAGGUUUAGGUGGGCGUUUAGACUAUCUCUGUGAAUCUCAAGUACUAGGCUAGAAGCUGUUAGGGUUCUUGGUGAGUGAACAGAGUGUAUGCAUAGCUGUUGCUGUGUUGUGAGUUUGGGUAGAUUAAGAAUUGGUCAGUGACGAGUUGUGUCAACGUCGUGUAAAUCUGAUUAAACAUAUCUUGUAGAUUGUUUAAGUGAUUCUUAAUAAAGGAAAAGAAGUUCUUUUCAAUUGCCUCAACAUCUAUAUAAUAAUAAUUGGUAUCAGAGCGGGUGACCGACCUGAGUACUAACUCAAUACAGGUUAAGAUCCUGCAGAUUAGAGAUGUCGAAGGCAGAACUCAACAGACCGGUGAUGCUGGAUCACAAAGGCUACGGUCACUGGAAAACUCGGAUGAUGUAGUUAAUCAGAGGAAAGGGAGAGGACGCCUGGACUGCAGUUGAAGAUGGCUGGGAACCUCCGUUCAGCACAACAGAAGACGGUCUGAAAGUGAAGAAACCAAAAGCUAACUGGACUGAUGCAGAAAAGAAUUUAUCCAAGUUCAAUGCAAGGGCUAUGAAUGCUAUCUAUUCAUGCCUUGAUGAUGAUGAAUUCAAUCUGGUUCAAGGAAGUGAGAAUGCUAAACAGAUGUGGGAUAUUCUGCAGAAAACCCAUGAGGGCAACACUGGUGUAAAACGCACCAGGCUGGACCAGUUGGCUACAGACUUUGAAAAUCUGAAGAUGGAUCCUUCAGAAACAAUUGUUCAGUUCAGUUCUAAGCUGAGUGGGAUUGCAAACGAAGCAAAAUCAUUAGGGAAAACGUACAAGGAGAAAAAGCUGGUGAAGAAGAUGCUUCGUUGCCUACCACCGAAAUACGCUGCACACAAAGCUGUCAUGAGAGUUUUAGGAAACACAGAUACCCUGAAAUAUGAAGAUCUGGUUGGGAUUCUAAAGUCUGAAGAGAUGGAAGUUGCUGAAGAUCAACGAAACCAGAAUAAAGGAAUAGCGGUCAAAGCUGAUGAAGAAAAUGGUCCAGAUCCGCUGCAAGAAAUAAGAGACAAUCUGUCUCUCAUGGCCAGAAAUUUCGGAAAAGCUUUGAAACAGGUUAAAGAGGGUAAGGACACAGACAGCAGGGACACAAGAGAGAUCAGUAGCUGGAACAGAAGUGAUGCUGAAAAGUCAGGCAGCAGGCAUGUAAGGAGCGAAUCAUCAGGAAGGAAACGUGAUCUGAAAUGUCACGAGUGUGGAGGUAUAGGACAUACUCGACCUGAAUGUCCUGUGGCAAGACGCAAGGAGCUGAAGUGCUAUGAGUGUAAUGGAUUUGGUCAUGUAAAAUCAGAAUGUCCAAGUUCACAGAAAGGUAAAGAGAAAUCUUUGUUGAGCUUCAGUGAGUCUGAAUCAGAUAGUGAUGGUGAAGCUGAACCUAUGAUGAAUUUUGUCGCAUUCAGUGCAAAAGAUCAGAAUAACUCCAGUGAGGAUUCUGAUUCAGAUAAUGAUGAUGGAAAUCAGAUCACUAGUGACGACUACAAGACUCUGUAUGACAGCUGGAUCUCUCUGAGCAAUGACAAGCUGCAGCUCACUAAGGAAAAAUUGAUGGUGGUGGCACAAGUGAACAUGCUGGAAGAAGAAGUGGAGGAAGGAAAAAUUGGCGAGAAGCUACCUGUGUCAGAAAAGGAGUUUCUUGAGAAGAAAAUGAAAUGUUUACUUGAGAGCUAUGAAAAAGAGAAAGAAAAAGCUUUAAUGCUGGAAAGAGAACUGAGUGAGAACCACAAGAAGAUUAGAAUGCUGAAUAAUGGUGGUAAAAAUCUGGAUCAGAUUCUGUCCAUGGGAAUAGUUGGUUCAAGUCAUAGAGGAUUGGGCUAUCAGUCAUAUGCUCCCAAAGCAUAUCUGGAUAUGCCAAAGACAGUUCAGUUCGUGAGGAGUACAACCUAUCAUGAUGAAGAAGCUCAAGUGGAAGAGAAACAGCAGCCUAGGAAGGUGAAUCAGAAUGCUCCACAGAAUACGGCUGUACAAUACAGGAAGACUGCACCAAGAAAGACUGCACCCAGAAAGAAGUGGACCAGGUCAAAUAAUAAUAUGGCUGUCCAAUACAGGAAGACUGCAUCAAGAAAGACUGCAUCCAGAAAGAAGUGGAUCAGGUCAAACAGAGGUCGAAAAGUGUUUGAAUGUUUCUAUUGUGGAAAACCAGGUCAUAUCAGAAGGUCUUGUUAUAAGUUUCAAGACAAGAUCAAGCAACUGUGGCAAGCACGGAAAUGCUUUAUUGAACCAUCCAAGUUUGGUAAAGUAUGGGUUCGCAAGAUAGACCUGUACAACAAAGAUUCAGAGCAUGAUGAGAAACAGUACAACAAAGCAGUCUCUGAAUCUGAAGAAAUAAGUCUGACAUGUAACGUGACGAUUGUACAACUGGAUGAGUCUGAUAAAGAUGAGGAGUUCACUGCAAAGGUAGCUUACACAUCUAUAGAUGGAACUGCAAAUAACCCUUGGUACUUUGAUAGUGGCUGCUCAAAACACAUGACAGGUGAUUCAAGUGUUCUGUCAACCUUCACAUAAGAGGCCAGUGGAAAAGUUACAUUUGGUGAUGGUGGUAAAGGACGUAUAAGAGGCAAAGGAAACAUCGAAUGUGAUGAUCAACCAUCACUGAUAAAUGUGUACUACGUUGAAGGCUUGAAAGAAAAUUUGAUUAGCAUAAGUCAGCUGUGCGAUGAUGGUCUGAAAGUAAUCUUCACUAGGACUGAUUGUCAAGCUGUUGAUGAAAAUGGAAACACUGUACUGUGUGGGGUGCGCUCAGGCAAUAACUGCUACAUGUGGAAGGCAUCAGAUAUCUGUUUGUCUGUGUCUGUUAAUGAUCUGGAGCUGUGGUACAAGAGACUUGGACACAUGAACGUUCAGACCCUAAUUAAGAUUGUGAACGCUGGAGUGGUUCGAGGUGUACCAAAACUGGCUGACAAACUGGAGUCUGUAUGCAGUGUAUGUAACAAAGGAAAGCAGAUCAAGGUCAAUUAUAAGAAGGUACCUGAAAUUGAAAGUAAAAAGGUACUUGAGCUGAUUCAUAUAGAUCUCAUGGGUCCAGUACAAAUGGAAAGUAUCAAUGGGAAGAAGUACAUCCUUGUGUUGGUAGAUGAUUUUUCAAGGUACACAUGGGUUCAGUUCCUAAGAGAGAAGUCUGAAGCAGUGGAAAGCUUUAAGAUUCUUACCCUACAGCUUCAGAAUGAAAAGGGAAGGAUCAUUCAUAUAAGAAGUGAUCAUGGAAGAGAAUUCCAGAAUGAGAUCUUUGAACAGUUCUGUCAAACGCAAGGAAUCAGACAUCAGUAUUCAGCACCCGGAACACCUCAGCAGAAUGGAAUUGUUGAACAGAAAAACAGAACACUGCAGAAAAUGGCUCGUGCUAUGAUUCAUGGUAAUAACAUCUCUCAAGGUUUCUGGGUAGAAGCAGUUAGCACAGCAUGCUACAUUGUCAACAGGGUUUAUGUGAAACCUGGCACAAAGACCACUUCAUACGAGAUAUGGAAGGGAAAAAAUCCGAAUCUGAGCCAUUUCCGUGUAUUUGGAUGUGUGUGUUAUAUUCUUAAUGAAAAUGAGCACUUCGGAAAAUUCGACUCUAGAAGUGAUGAGGGAAUUUUCUUGGGAUACUCUACAAACAGCUCAGCAUACAGAGUGUAUAACAAGAGAACCAAGGUAAUUGGUGAUGCUGUCAAUGUGGUCUUUGAUGAUAAAAAUAGAUUUGUGUUACCUCCUGUGCUAGACGAGUACAUAGAAGAAUCUGCAGCAUACGAGUCUCCAGAAGCAUCUGCAGCAGACGAGUCUGCAGAAGCACCUACAUCAGACGAGUCUGCAGAAACACCUACAGCAGACGAGUUUGCAGAAGCACCUGCAGUAGACGCACCUGAAACAGCUCUUGAAGAUAAAUUCACUGACAGAGAAGUAUCAUCUGAGGCACAGUCACCUGUUGUACCUUCUACGACAAAGAAACUAGUUGUUCAUAAGUAUCAUUCAACUGCUGAUUUGAUAGGAGAUUUGAAUGAAAGAACGACCAGAGGUGUUCAGCUUAACUUCAAAGAAAUGCUGCAGCACUCGUGUUUUGUGUGUUUAGUUGAACCCAAGAAUAUUGCUGUAGCUCUUGAAGAUGAAUUCUGGUAUGGUACUUGUACAGAGGAACUAAAUCAGUUUUCCAGAAAUGAAGUGUGGGAUCUGGUACCUCGACCUGCACAGAUAAAUGUUGUGGGCACAAUGUGGAUAUUCAAGAACAAGAUUGAUGAAGAUGGUCAGGAUAUUGAUCAAAAACUCUACAGAGUCAUGAUCGGAAGUCUGAUGUAUCUGAUAACUAGCAGACCAGACCUGUGUUAUAGUGUUGGUCUGUGUGCCCGUUACCAAGCCUUUCUACGUGUAUCCCAUUUAAAUGCAGGUUUCUGUGAUGCAGACUGGUCAGGAUGUCUUGAUGGCAGACGAAGCACAUCUGGAGGAUGUUUCUUUCUGGGAAACAACCUGAUCGCUUGGCAUAGCAAGAAGCAGAACUACAUCUACCUGUCGUCCACUCAGGCUGAGUACAUUGCUAUGGGGAGCUGCUGUACUCAACUACCAUGGAUGAAACAAAUACUUGCGGAUUAUGGUAUGACUUCUGAAAUUUUGUUGAUAAACUGUGAUAAUACAGGUGCAAUUGAUAUUACUAAGAACCAUGUUCAUCACACUCGCACUAAGCACAUUGGUAUUAGGCACCAUUUCAUCAGAGAGCUAGUUGAAGGGAAACUUGUUGAGAUCCUCUAUAUUGAUACUGAGAAACAAUUGGCUGAUAUUUUUACUAAACCACUUGAUUUGAGCACUUUCACAAAUUUGCAAAAGUCACUUGGUAUUUGUGAAAACUGACCUGGUUUUUGUCACUAAGGGAUUGUUGGAACAGGAUCACUGCACAGGAGUAC
RNAcentral lists this long non-coding RNA (37545 nucleotides) under Arabidopsis lyrata. Its description in RNAcentral is "long non-coding RNA (ALYR_LNC003052)". The stretch from base 25527 to 25641 matches the Rfam family "Small nucleolar RNA snoR9". Lineage: Eukaryota; Viridiplantae; Streptophyta; Magnoliopsida; Brassicales; Brassicaceae. The record is from RNAcentral.